CUUUCUUCCGACUAGGCAUGGCUCUAUGAAGAGAUAAUUUUAGACCUCAAACUUUGACCUAGUGAAUAGAAGAAUGAUGUAAAUGGAGAGAAACGAAGAGGAAGGAACUCACAGAACAAAGGAGGAAAUGAUGGGAUUUAAACUGUCUUGUGAGAUCCGAAGGGUUUUUUAAUUCCUUAGUAACUGAUAGUGGAAAGGCUGAUUCUUGUUUGAUGAUGCAUUAAUUUGUGAUGCUCCAUGGGUUAAGAACUGCUAAAUAUUUGGUGCAGUUUUGAAAUCCACUGUAAUUACAUUUGGCUUUGUACCGAUCAGUGCCUUGCAUAACUACCCUGGGGGCAUUCAUUUACUGCGGCCACUGUGACAAAUGCUGUAAAACAACAGUCAUUACUUUUAAGUGUGGGAGGUCAAGCAGGAUCUGCUUGAUUGGGUUCCUUCUAAAACCCCUAAGCAAAAGCCCUUUCCUUGACUCUUUUUGGCUCCAAGUGACAGCCUGUGUUUCUUGACACCUAAUGACUUCCACUCUGGCCUCUGCUCACACAGCUGCAGAGUCCCCUCUGACUCCGCCCCUCCCCACUUGAUUUUAUAAGCUCAGGACCUUUGUGAUUCAUUUAGGACACACUCUAAAUAAUCCUGAGCCAUCUCCACAUUGCAAUACCCUCAACCCCUGAAGAAUGUUUUCUGCCACCAAAGAAGUCUUGGUAUUGUAUCAUUUGUCUCCAAAACUGUGUCACCACAAAAGACAGGAGUCACGAUGAUGACAGGUGGAAAGCAGGGACAGGUGGAAAGCAGUGUCAAGACUUAGAUGCACAGCAAGUGUGACAGUUCCAAAGGCAGAGAGAAGAUGGCACAUCCAAAAGUAUAUCUGGUGAGUGUGAAUUUUGUAGUAAAAUAAAAUAGUUUAUGUACAAGCUGUACCUGUGAUAGAAAAAAAGUUUAAACACUUCUAGAGAGCCCAAUGUGGUAACUGAGACACACCUGCAACCCUGCCCUUUGGAUGUGGAGACAAGAGGAGUUCAAGGCCAACCUCAGCUACACAGAAAGUGUGAGGCCAGCUUGGGCUACAUGAGACCUUGUCUGUGCUAGCCAAACUAGAAAAAUAAGUAAGUGAGUAAAUAAUUUGAUUCUUCUACAUGGUCUUUAUCAUCUUGAGGAGGUAGUUUGAAAUGUCAUUAUUAAGAAUUUCAACAGACAUUAUUAACAGAUAUUUAUUAGCUCAUACAUUGGUAUUGCCAGAUUAGCUCAUACAUUGGUUUUUACAGAUUGGGUUUGUUGGGGGGGUAUUUUUUUAUUAACUAAUUAAUUAAAAUUGGAGACAGGUGCUCACUAAGUAGCCCUUGUCUGACCUGGGAUUCACUAUAUAGACCAACCAGAACUCAAGCACAGGGGUCCACCUGCCUCUGCCUUCUGAGUGCUGGGAUUCAAAC
This 1424-nucleotide long non-coding RNA is filed under the name Cricetulus griseus (Chinese hamster). Its description in RNAcentral is "lncRNA (ENSCGRG00015042006.1)". Lineage: Eukaryota; Metazoa; Chordata; Mammalia; Rodentia; Cricetidae. The record is from RNAcentral.